Molecule: long non-coding RNA, 255 nt
Organism: Branchiostoma floridae (Florida lancelet)
Lineage: Eukaryota; Metazoa; Chordata; Leptocardii; Amphioxiformes; Branchiostomatidae
Exons: 3
Source: RefSeq, a predicted model, not a curated record
GAAAAAGAGUGUCCGGGAGCAGAAAAACUUCUCGCCAAGCUGCUCGUGACAGCAGUCGGGAAACCAAAGCCAGGAUGAAUGUUGUAAAGGGCAUCUCUAGACGCGUCACCACCAUCACCGGCAUCAGUGAUGAAGUCCAAGAAGACACCGACAGUAUCUACAAGGAACAUCUACAAAAAGGCUGCGGGGCUCUACAAACGGGAGACCUGGACAAAGCAGAGCAAAACUUUGCGGCUGCGCUCAAGUCCGUUCAUA